UACGUAGGCAGCAAGCGUUGUUCGGAGUUACUGGGCGUAAAGAGUGUGUAGGCGGUUUGCCAAGUUCGGUGUGAAAUCUCCCGGCUUAACUGGGAGGGUGCGCCGAAAACUGGCAGGCUUGAGUGCGGGAGAGGAGAGCGGAAUUCCUGGUGUAGCGGUGAAAUGCGUAGAGAUCAGGAGGAACACCUGCGGUGUAGACGGCUCUCUGGACCGCAACUGACGCUGAGACACGAAAGCGUGGGUAGCAAACAGG
This 253-nucleotide ribosomal RNA is filed under the name uncultured bacterium. RNAcentral's name for it is "partial 16S ribosomal RNA". It matches the Rfam family "Bacterial small subunit ribosomal RNA", at positions 524 to 776 of the family's 1533-position model. RNAcentral also lists the same sequence under 1 other name. The record is from RNAcentral.